AGUAACCACGCCCAGCAAGUCCCUGCGACAUUGCCCGCCUACGUGUCUCAGCGGAGGCACAUUUCUAAAAUGUACCAGGUCUCUCGCACCCCGACGCAGGUGCUUCAACAGCUCUCAGCGCUCGGUGGUUGGUGAACUGUGGUAAAGUGUACGCAGAAUAAGGUCUACGUGAUUAAGCACCGCCUGGGGGUUGGGGUCUGGAGGCCCAGCUGCACAGAUGAAAGGGAGGCUCAGAGACGUUUGGGACCAACCGAGAUCACACAGCUGAUUAGGAAUAAAAUUCAGGUCAAGCUGAAAGUCGGCCGCCACCGUCUAGCGUGGAUCCCAGGACACCGUGAAAGGACUUCAGAAGUUGACUUUCGCGUUUUUAAGGAGUGGGGUGCAGGGAAACAAUCCUCCGCCGGCCCUGCGGGCUGAUGCCGACCCUCACCUGCUCCCGCCACGUGGAGAGGUAGAGAGAAGCCCCGGGCCAAGCAGCAUUGAGCCCUGGUCCCUUCUAUUUAAAUAUGAAAUAUUUUGCAUACACUUUUCUAGAUGUACUUAAUAUACACAAUGUUUUAAUGUUUGUGAUUUUUUUGUUUUGCCAAAAAAAAUACAAUCAAUCAGAAAUUCA
Molecule: non-coding RNA, 613 nt
Filed under: Pan troglodytes (chimpanzee)
Lineage: Eukaryota; Metazoa; Chordata; Mammalia; Primates; Hominidae
Source: RNAcentral